This 394-nucleotide unclassified non-coding RNA is filed under the name soil metagenome. RNAcentral describes it as "partial contains 5.8S ribosomal RNA, internal transcribed spacer 2, and large subunit ribosomal RNA". The stretch from base 1 to 122 matches the Rfam family "5.8S ribosomal RNA", at positions 35 to 154 of the family's 154-position model. The record is from RNAcentral.
GAUGAAGAACGCAGCGAAAUGCGAUACUUGGUGUGAAUUGCAGAAUCUCGUGAACCAUCGAGUCUUUGAACGCAAGUUGCGCCCGAAGCCAUCAGGUUGAGGGCACGUCUGCCUGGGCGUCACAUAUCGUUGCCCAAUGCCUAUUGCAGUGCAAUAGGAAUUUCUAGGGCGAAUGAUGGCUUCCCGUGAGCGUUGUCGCCUCGCGGUUGGUUGAAAAUUGAGUCCUUGGUAGGGUGUGCCAUGGUAGAUGGUGGUCGAGUUAGAACGAUACCGAUCAUGUGCAUGCUCCCCAAAAUAUGGCCUCUAUGACCCACACGCGUCUUUUGACGCUCAUGACGAGACCUCAGGUCAGGCGGGGCUACCCGCUGAAUUUAAGCAUAUCAUAAGCGGAGGA